RNAcentral lists this ribosomal RNA (111 nucleotides) under Escherichia coli. The record is from RNAcentral. Lineage: Bacteria; Pseudomonadati; Pseudomonadota; Gammaproteobacteria; Enterobacterales; Enterobacteriaceae.
UGGCGGCCUUAGCGCGGUGGUCCCACCUGACCCCAUGCCGAACUCAGAAGUGAAACGCCGUAGCGCCGAUGGUAGUGUGGGGUCUCCCCAUGCGAGAGUAGGGAAUUGCCA